CCUACGGGUGGCAGCAGUGAGGAAUAUUGGUCAAUGGGCGCGAGCCUGAACCAGCCAAGUAGCGUGAAGGAUGACGGUCCUAUGGGUUGUAAACCUCUUUUAUCAGGGAAUAAAGUGCGCCACGCGUGCCUUUCCGUAUGUACCCUAUGAAUAAGGAUCGGCUAACUCCGUGCCAGCAGCCGCGGUAAUACGGAGGAUCCGAGCGUUAUCCGGAUUUAUUGGGUUUAAAGGGUGCGUCGGUGGGAAGUUAAGUCAGGUGUGAAAAUUGGCGGCUCAACCCGAUAGUUGCAGUUGAAACUGGCAGUCUUGAGUGCGCGAGAAGUAGGCGGAAUUCGUGGUGUAGCGGUGAAAUGCUUAGAUAUCACGAAGAACUCCGAUUGCGAAGGCAGCAUACUGGAGUGCAACUGACGCUGAUGCUCGAAAGUGUGGGUAUCGAACAGGAUUAGAUACCCGAGUAGUC
This 460-nucleotide ribosomal RNA is filed under the name uncultured bacterium. RNAcentral describes it as "partial 16S ribosomal RNA". It matches the Rfam family "Bacterial small subunit ribosomal RNA", at positions 338 to 795 of the family's 1533-position model. The record is from RNAcentral.